CCCGCUGAACUUAAGCAUAUCAAUAAGCGGAGGAAAAGAAACCAACAGGGAUUGCCCUAGUAACGGCGAGUGAAGCGGCAACAGCUCAAAUUUGAAAUCUGGCCUUUUGGUCCGAGUUGUAAUUUGUAGAGGAUGAUUUUGGUGCGGUACCUUCCGAGUUCCCUGGAACGGGACGCCUUAGAGGGUGAGAGCCCCGUACGGUUGGAUGCCUAGCCUCUGUAAAUCUCCUUCGACGAGUCGAGUAGUUUGGGAAUGCUGCUCUAAAUGGGAGGUAAAUUUCUUCUAAAGCUAAAUACUAGCCAGAGACCGAUAGCGCACAAGUAGAGUGAUCGAAAGAUGAAAAGCACUUUGAAAAGAGGGUUAAACAGCACGUGAAAUUGUUGAAAGGGAAGCGCUUAUGACCAGACUUUUUCUAGGCGGAUCAUCCGGUGUUCUCACCGGUGCACUUCGCCUAGUUUAGGCCAGCAUCGGUUUCUGUAGGGAGAUAAAAGCUUCAGGAAUGUGACUCCUCCGGGAGUGUUAUAGCCUGUUGUAUAAUAUCCUUACGGGGACCGAGGUACGCGCUCUGCAAGGAUGCUGGCAUAAUGGUCAUCAGCGACCCGUCUUGAAACACGG
This 615-nucleotide ribosomal RNA is filed under the name uncultured fungus. Its description in RNAcentral is "eukaryotic LSU rRNA". It matches the Rfam family "Eukaryotic large subunit ribosomal RNA", at positions 24 to 664 of the family's 3401-position model. Lineage: Eukaryota; Fungi. The record is from RNAcentral.